AACAACACUCCCUAGUCCCAAUAUACAAAUCAAGAUCCAUUAAAAUUCAACCGUAGAAAUUCAAAAUUUAUUCAAGAUUCAGAAUCCCCAUUGCGAAAGCUAAAAGGAGCACCUACCAAUGUUACGAAUAGAGUUCCGGAAUCGCAAUUUCAUCCAAAGUCACAAAUUUGAGGUAUGUGGGUGUUGAACAAGAAUAAUCCUUUUGUUCUUGUGCCCAAAACUUAAUUUUUAUUUCAAGAUAUGUAUUUGAUUUUUUUUACAUGGUAUUUAUGGAAUUGAUAUUGAAUAUAUAUAUACCAAGUUACUAUUUAUGAGAUUAUGGGAUUAUGAGUUAUUUAAGAUGUGAUUUUCAUGACCUUGUAUUUACUAUGAAUUGAAUUGAAAAUUUAUAUCAUGAGUUAUAUCCUUUAUUUAUGAAUUGAUAUUUUUGAAUAAUUUCAAGAAUGAUAUUGAGUUUGAAUUGUUAUUGAGAAUGGUUAUGAGAUUUGAAUCUUGAAUUUGAGUCUAAAUAUUUGGUAUUGAGAUUUUUAAGCCUAUGUUCUUGAAAACAAUGAACUAUUGCAUUUAUGUCAAGAAUGAGUUCGGAUUUUGAUAAAGAUAUGAUUUUGAGAAGAUUUGAGUCAAGAAUGAUAUUGUGAUUUUGAGUUGAAAAUAGGAAUCCACAAUUUAUUUUGAGUCAAUUAUGAAAAAUAUGAUUUGGCCUUCAUUGUAGGUCCUUGAGAUUAUUUUGAGGUGGAUUUCCUAAAUGAGACUGAGCUUGAGUACAGGAGUAGUAUUUAGCACCGAGCGGGAGGUGUGGGUGAGCGUACCCUACUUCCCCAGAACUACGUGCCACCGUAGGAUUGAGAUUUCUGGGCCUAAGGCCAAGUUUGUGAUCACUGAGUUAAGGUUAUACUCCCUGGCAAGAGUAUGACGCUCCUUCCCAACGUGGGGUUUCUUCCUUAGAAGGACAAAACGUUGGACUCCAUGAUAAGCUCACAUGAUUUAUGUCGGUUAAAAGAAACUCCCGAAGUUGUGCCUUACUCUGAAUUAAGUUAAAAGUAUGAGUUUUGGAAAUAUUGUUUACAGAUUUCUUUAGCCUUCGAGUUUUGAGAAUAAAAGAAGAAAUUCGGAUUUUUGAGUUAAGAAUAAUGACUCACGAGAGUUAUGGUACAAGUUUCAUUAUUCAUGAUUUAUGAUGUUUAUUUUUCAGAAUUUUAAUUCAAGUUAACUGAGUCAUUUAUACCAGCAUGCAUAAUUUUAUAAACUGUGAUGAUAUUAAAAUAUUAUUUUAUAUAUGCAUUGCACCCCCAUAUGCUCGGUACAUUUCCAUGGUACUGACCCAUAUAUUCGUUUGUGGGUUACAUUUUCUCGAAAUAUAGGUACAAGGUAGAGUAUGCACCUUCAGAUCCAGUCAGUUCACGACAUCCAGUCAGCAGGUGAUGAGUCCUUUUUGAUUCAAGGGCUUAAGUCAGUUAUAUUGUUAAAGAAGUAUCGUAUUUUCUUUAUUUUUCCUAUUUCAAUUGUAUUGAGUUAGGAUAGUUGGGAGUCAUGACCCG
RNAcentral lists this long non-coding RNA (1538 nucleotides) under Capsicum annuum. RNAcentral's name for it is "long non-coding RNA (CANN_LNC004508)". The record is from RNAcentral. Lineage: Eukaryota; Viridiplantae; Streptophyta; Magnoliopsida; Solanales; Solanaceae.